Hemicordylus capensis (graceful crag lizard) is the source of this 536-nucleotide long non-coding RNA. RefSeq lists it as uncharacterized. The transcript is spliced from 3 exons. The record is from RefSeq and is a predicted model, not a curated record. Lineage: Eukaryota; Metazoa; Chordata; Lepidosauria; Squamata; Cordylidae.
UUGCCUUGUCAGCAAGAGAGGUGCCUGCAGCCUAGGCGGCAACCAUGCUAUCUUGCACAGACACAAAAAGCCUUUUGGAAGGUUGUGUCUUUGUUGAAGAUGAUGUUUAGCAUUUUAGCAUUCAAGACUCUUCAGACACGGAUUGCGAGAACGCCUGGCCUGAGAAAUUGACACCCGAGUGAAUGGAGGCGAAUGCACCUGCUUAAGUUGAGGAAGGCAGAUCACCAAAGGCGGCAGGAGUCCAGUGGUGAGGAUGGGAGGUCGGGAGAAGCUAAGAAGAAGGAGAGAAGAGACUCUACAGUGGGAGAACCACUUUGGGAAGAGCAGGAUCAGCCCCUUUAUCAUUUCGGUUUCCCUCUUCUGCUGCACCUUCUUCAGUUCGACAGUAUCGCUUUUUUGGUAAUCUGGCGACCGGAAGGAUACACUUUACUUCUGAGGAACAGCUACAACUGGAAACAAGGUCAGCUUCAUGUUGUUGUUGUUGUUGUUGUUGUUGUUGUUGUUGUUGUUGUUGUUGUUGUUAUAGCCCAGUAAGC